GAGUACGUGAAACCGCCCAGAGGUAAACGGGUGGAUCCGCAAAGUCGGCCCACGGAAUUCAGCUCGGCGAGCGGCCUGGGACAGCUGCGGUUCGGGAUCCCUGGGACCCGUCCGCUGGCGUCGUGCCGGGCUCCGCCGAGUGCACUUUCCGUGGGCAGAGCGCCACAACCGGUUUCGCGGGCGGCGAGAAGCCGGGCGGGAAGGUAGGUCUGGGCGGAAACGUUCAGACUGUUACAGCCCGCUCAGGCGCGCCGCUCCGGGAUCGAGGGACUACCGUUCGCUUCGAGGCUACCCG
This 295-nucleotide ribosomal RNA is filed under the name Sarasinula plebeia. Its description in RNAcentral is "partial 28S ribosomal RNA". The record is from RNAcentral. RNAcentral also lists the same sequence under 1 other name. Lineage: Eukaryota; Metazoa; Mollusca; Gastropoda; Systellommatophora; Veronicellidae.